UAUAUGAGAUUAGAAAUGAUAAUAUUUAACGGCAUUAAAAAUAAAAACAUUUGCCUUUUCUAAUAUAGCGCUAUGACCUUUUAACUUGUGGAUAAUGUCAAGUCUUAAUGUCCUAUGGCCAUUCCACUCGAGUCCACUCGAAGGCAUUUUCACUUUUUUUUUAUGCAAUAUCAGUUGUCAUCACUUUGUCCUUAUCGUUUUUCUUCCACCUCUCUCUCUCUCUCUUUCUCUAUAUACACACACACACACACACACUAUUCUAUUUUUUUUUAUUACCAAGACCCUGAACUAUGUAUAUUUAUAUCUUGUUUUGAAAACCAAAGAUGUUUAAAGUUGCACACAGACUACUAACCGACUUCUUUCAGUAAUCACUGUGUAAAUGUUAUCCUCUAUCUCUUAGACUAGUAGAUUUGAUAACUUGUGUGUUUGUUGAUGUGUGAAGCUGUGUGUGUUUUUCAGAUAUAUUUUUUUUAAAAAGUGUUUGUGUGUUUGAAAACAUGGGGAAAUGACUCUGAAUGACUCGAGAUACAGUGUGUGUCCGAGAGAUUAGACAAGAUCUCUUUAGAUCGGUAAGAGAUAGGAGAGAGAGAGAGAGAGUCUAUCUGGAUGUUGAGUAGUUACCGAGUGUUAAAUCAGAUGAGUAAGUCACAGACUAGGUCAAAU
Non-coding RNA from Biomphalaria pfeifferi, 663 nucleotides. Lineage: Eukaryota; Metazoa; Mollusca; Gastropoda; Planorbidae. The record is from the annotation of a GenBank genome assembly.